CCAAAGCUUUUGCUAGCACUGAAAUAAAGCUUUGUUUGAAACUUGAUACUGGUGUCUAGUGAAAUGCCUAACCAAGAGACGAGCAGAAGACGGGGAGUAAAUCUCUCAUCUAAUAAUUUGUCUCCUCCUCUUGGUCACCCGUGACUGCCCUGGGACUCUGCAAUGUUCACUCACCAGCAACAGGAACCAUUGGCCCCUCAGGUGUUUGAUCGUUCAAAACUAAAGAGGGAAGAGAAAACAAGAUCGUGGUACCACAACUGCAGAAAGGAGGAAACACUGGACAAGGAGAAGGAUGACAGGAAGCGGGAAAGGAAGGAAGAUUUUAAGUAGUUGGUGAGUUCUUUGCAAGCGACUCAAAAAGGACCCCGAGGACGGAACGAGCCCAGGUCAGGACAGGCAAGAGCAGGUAGUUCAAGUCAACCACUUUGUUUUUACUGCAAGAAGCCAGGUCAUUUUUAAGAGAGACUGUAGACUUCAGCAGCACGAAGGGGCCCCCAACCUCUCCUUCCACCCACAAGGCGGACACAGCUAAAAAGGCAACCACCAGCCACGGUACGGAGAGCCGUCCCAGAACUUCACCCCUGCACCUCCACUGCAGCAAUUUCCAGUGCAGGACGGAUGGGAUGAGUAUAUCCCCACCCAACCCCAAUGACUGGAGGGAGAGGAGGCACAGGAAGGGGUUUCUUUGCAGGCAGCUUGUAUUCCAGUGGAUCAGUAUAACCAUGGAGAACCUUAUGUAAAUGGAGAAAUACAAGGGGGAAGUAUACAUGCCUCUUUGACACAGGGGCUUCUAGAUCUUUGCUCGUGGUUGAACUUGUUCAAGUUCCUUACGAUGUGAAGGGUUGUCAGUGGAUUGUGGGGGUGGGAGGAAAGGGAUUUGAAGUUGAAGAGACAAAUGAGUUGGUCACUACUGUGGGUCAUUUGUCCUUGCAACACUCUUUUUUAUUAAUUGACCACUCACCUGUAAACCUCUAUGGGAGGGAUCUCCUAUGAGAGCUACUAUCCACUGCAGUCCAGAAGGCCUGCAACUUACCUUACCUUUUGGCCCGCAGUAUUUCCUUGCCUCCCUGCUUGCCUCCACAGAAAACUCUGAAUUCCAGCUUCCAGGAGCCUUGCAAGAGAUUCCUGAUUCAUUGUGGGGAUGGUCAUCCACUGAUGUGGGACUUCUGAAAUCCACCACUCCUGUGGUCAUUUAUACCAAGGGAGGACCUCCCCCUUGUAUACCCCAGUACCCCCUACCCCGGGAAGCUUUAGACUUGAUUCAAAAAUUGACUGACGCCUAUUUGGCGAAAGGGUAGUUCCUUGCAAAUCCCCUGCCAAUAUUCCAAUUCUACCCGUCAGGAAGCUCCAGGUGGAGGCAGAUGGAACUCCCAUCUACCGGUUUGUCAUUCUCCCUCUAUGUGCAUGAGAAGGGAGGAGUGGCCUCGGGGGUGCUGACCUAAUCCUUUGGGGGUAGGCAGAGACCAGUCGCCUACUACUCUAUCCAGCUAGAUCCCAUGGCAUGAGGUGCUGUGGGUUGCCUGAGGGCCCUGGCAGCAACUGUCUUACUUGUCAGACAGUCAAAGGAUCUAGUCAUAGGCUUCCCCUCUCCUUGUAUGGGUUCCCCAUGAGGUUUCUGCUAUCCUGCUGAAAUGUCAAACCUAGGCCUUUACUCAUCAACGGCUUGCUAGCUAUGAGGCUGAACUCUUGAGUUCUGCAAACCUCACCAUUAGAUGGUGUAACACCUUGAAUCCUGCUACUUUGCUGCCUGAUCCAGAAGAUGGAGAGCUAGGACACUACAACUGUCUACGCAUGAUCCAGAUGGUGGAGACUCCAAGACCAGAUCUCACUGAUGUGCCUCUGGGAAACACUAAGCUGGAGUUGUUCACAGACGGGUCCUCCUUCAUGGAGAAUGGAGUCAGGUACACUAGGGCAGCGGUAGUGUCACUGCACGAGAUCAUGUGGAUGGAGUUUCUACCCCACUCGCUGGUAGCACAGGCGGCUUUCGCCCUGACAGAAGCCUGUAAGUAUGCCACGGGGAAGAAAGCUACUAUUUACACCAAUAGUAAGUACACCUUCAGGAUCUGUCAAACUACAGGGGCCCUGUGGAAACACAGAAGGUUCCUAACCUCCUCUGGGCAGAGGAUUGCUCAUUCAGAACUGGUGCUGAACCUGCUGGAUGCCAUUCUGCUGCUCAGUGAGUUAGCCAUGGUCCACUGCUCAGCUCAUCAGACUGAUGACUCAUUUGUUACCAAGGGGACAUGUAUCAUCUCAGUAUUUGCUCCAGUUUUUACCAUGGGCCCUGAGCAGCCAUAUCUGACCUCCGUACAUUUGAGCGAACCUCCUACCUGGGAGAGACUGUAUGAGGCCACAUGAGAUAAGGAUUUCUGGAUUGUCCCAGAUGGUCGCCCCAUUGCUCUGAGAGCCCUCCUCCAAGUGCUCUGUCAACAGUUACACACAAAAGUGGAACUCAAGCCACUGUUGAUGCUGUGCAAGCCCAGUGGUUUGUCCCUGGAGUUUAUGUUAAGGCCUCUCAAGUGACAAAACUAUGUCUGACUUGUCAGGCUUUUAAGGCCUGUUCAAAGCCACAAGUUCACAACGGGAGGCGUACCUGGGCAUCCCUUCCCUUUGAACAUUUACAACUUGACUUUAUUGCUUUGCUCCCUGCCGAGAGUUACCGCUUUGACCUUAUGAUCCGAGACCAGCUGACUCAUUGGACUAAGAAACCAAUCUUAUCACAUUCCAAACAAAAUUAGGAAGUUUAAUUUAAUAAUAAUGUUGCUUGAUUAAAUACAUAUGCUUUGUAAACUGUCAAAUUAAUGUCUAAACUGGAUCAUUCAAAAUUUAAGAAAAGCAAGGCUUUAAUCAUAGAUCUUGCUAAAGAUCCCAACCUCAGUCAAUAUAAAUAAAAUUUUGUUAGAUAUUUU
Molecule: long non-coding RNA, 2906 nt
Organism: Hemicordylus capensis (graceful crag lizard)
Lineage: Eukaryota; Metazoa; Chordata; Lepidosauria; Squamata; Cordylidae
Exons: 3
Source: RefSeq, a predicted model, not a curated record